This 301-nucleotide ribosomal RNA is filed under the name uncultured bacterium. RNAcentral's name for it is "partial 16S ribosomal RNA". It matches the Rfam family "Bacterial small subunit ribosomal RNA", at positions 509 to 809 of the family's 1533-position model. The record is from RNAcentral.
CAGUCGCCACGGGAAUACAGAGGGUGCGAGCGUUAAUCGGAUUUACUGGGCGUAAAGCGUGCGUAGGCGGCUUCUUAAGUCGGAUGUGAAAUCCCUGAGCUUAACUUAGGAAUUGCAUUCGAUACUGGGAAGCUAGAGUAUGGGAGAGGAUGGUAGAAUUCCAGGUGUAGCGGUGAAAUGCGUAGAGAUCUGGAGGAAUACCGAUGGCGAAGGCAGCCAUCUGGCCUAAUACUGACGCUGAGGUACGAAAGCAUGGGGAGCAAACAGGAUUAGAUACCCCCGUAGUCCCUGUCUCUUAUCC